UACGUAGGUGGCGAGCGUUGUCCGGAUUUACUGGGCGUAAAGGGAGCGUAGGCGGACUUUUAAGUGAGAUGUGAAAUACUCGGGCUCAACUUGAGUGCUGCAUUUCAAACUGGAAGUCUAGAGUGCAGGAGAGGAGAAUGGAAUUCCUAGUGGAGCGGUGAAAUGCGUAGAGAUUAGGAAGAACACCAGUGGCGAAGGCGAUUCUCUGGACUGUAACUGACGCUGAGGCUCGAAAGCGUGGGGAGCAAACAGG
This 253-nucleotide ribosomal RNA is filed under the name uncultured bacterium. RNAcentral describes it as "partial 16S ribosomal RNA". It matches the Rfam family "Bacterial small subunit ribosomal RNA", at positions 524 to 776 of the family's 1533-position model. The record is from RNAcentral.